CCUACGGGCGGCAGCAGUGGGGAAUAUUGGACAAUGGGCGAAAGCCUGAUCCAGCCAUGCCGCGUGUGUGAAGAAGGCCUUCGGGUUGUAAAGCACUUUCAGUGGGGAAGAAAGCCUUGGGGCUAAUACCCUCGAGGAAGGACAUCACCCACAGAAGAAGCACAGGCUAACUCCGUGCCAGCAGCCGCGGUAAUACGGAGGGUGCGAGCGUUAAUCGGAAUUACUGGGCGUAAAGCGCGCGUAGGCGGUCUGAUAAGCCGGUUGUGAAAGCCCCGGGCUCAACCUGGGAACGGCAUCCGGAACUGUCAGGCUAGAGUGCAGGAGAGGAAGGUAGAAUUCCCUGUGUAGCGGUGAAAUGCGUAGAUAUCUGGAGGAAUACCAGUGGCGAAGGCGGCUUUCUGGAUUGACACUGACGCUGAGGUGCGAAAGCGUGGGUAGCAAACAGGAUUAGAUACCCUAGUAGUC
This 465-nucleotide ribosomal RNA is filed under the name Vreelandella stevensii. RNAcentral's name for it is "partial 16S ribosomal RNA". It matches the Rfam family "Bacterial small subunit ribosomal RNA", at positions 338 to 795 of the family's 1533-position model. The record is from RNAcentral. Lineage: Bacteria; Pseudomonadati; Pseudomonadota; Gammaproteobacteria; Oceanospirillales; Halomonadaceae.